This 76-nucleotide transfer RNA is filed under the name Pirellula staleyi DSM 6068. RNAcentral's name for it is "tRNA-Asn". It matches the Rfam family "tRNA". From Rfam's summary of the family: Transfer RNA (tRNA) molecules are approximately 80 nucleotides in length. Their secondary structure includes four short double-helical elements and three loops (D, anti-codon, and T loops). Lineage: Bacteria; Pseudomonadati; Planctomycetota; Planctomycetia; Pirellulales; Pirellulaceae. The record is from RNAcentral.
UCCCCUGUAGCUCAGUUGGUAGAGCAGGCGACUGUUAAUCGCCGGGUCGUAGGUUCGAGUCCUACCGGGGGAGCUA